GCGUCUGUCGUAUAAUGGUAUUACCCCAGCCUUCCAAGCUGAUGACGUCAGUUCGAUUCUGAUCAGACGCU
Molecule: transfer RNA, 71 nt
Filed under: Spirochaetota bacterium
Lineage: Bacteria; Pseudomonadati; Spirochaetota
Description: Spirochaetes bacterium tRNA-Gly
Rfam family: tRNA
About the family: Transfer RNA (tRNA) molecules are approximately 80 nucleotides in length. Their secondary structure includes four short double-helical elements and three loops (D, anti-codon, and T loops).
Source: RNAcentral